GUCUAUGGCCAUACCACACUGAACGUGCCCAAUCUCGUCUGAUCUCGGAAGCUAAGCAGGGUUAGGCCUGGUUAGUACUUGGAUGGGAGAAACCUUAGCAUUCUUGCACA
This 110-nucleotide ribosomal RNA is filed under the name Mustela putorius furo (domestic ferret). The record is from RNAcentral. Lineage: Eukaryota; Metazoa; Chordata; Mammalia; Carnivora; Mustelidae.